AUACGGAGGAUGCGAGCGUUAUCCGGAUUUAUUGGGUUUAAAGGGUGCGUAGGCGGCUUGGUAAGUCAGCGGUGAAAUUCAGAUGCUCAACAUCUGCCGUGCCGUUGAAACUGCCGGGCUUGAAUGCGGAUGCCGUGGGAGGAAUGUGUGGUGUAGCGGUGAAAUGCAUAGAUAUCACACAGAACACCGAUUGCGAAGGCAUCUCACGAAUCCGCGAUUGACGCUGAGGCACGAAAGUGCGGGGAUCAAACAGGAUUAGAUACCCUGGUAGUCCGCACAGUAAACGAUGAUGACUAACCGUCGGCGAUACACAGUCGGUGGCCAAGCGAAAGCGAUAAGUCAUCCACCUGGGGAGUACGACCGCAAGGUUGAAACUCAAAUGAAUGGACGGGG
This 393-nucleotide ribosomal RNA is filed under the name uncultured bacterium. RNAcentral describes it as "partial 16S ribosomal RNA". It matches the Rfam family "Bacterial small subunit ribosomal RNA", at positions 523 to 918 of the family's 1533-position model. The record is from RNAcentral.